Molecule: long non-coding RNA, 1149 nt
Organism: Populus euphratica (Euphrates poplar)
Lineage: Eukaryota; Viridiplantae; Streptophyta; Magnoliopsida; Malpighiales; Salicaceae
Exons: 2
Source: RefSeq, a predicted model, not a curated record
AUUUUGUUCCUUCUUUGGGUUCGAGUUUCUGGUGGAUGUUGUGCAAAUUGUUUACUAGAGUUGGCAUUUGUGUGUUAGCUUAUUUAUUUUGUCUACAUGGUAGUAUAAAAAAUAUCGUGGUCUUAUCUCAGCUAUUCCAUGGCCCUUAUUACUUGACACUAAAAUGUGGACAGAUCAAAUUAUAGGCAGUUUGAGUUGGCACCUAAAUGCUCAAUUGAACCAUGUAGCUUCUAGAAGGCAUACGCCUGACUCAUAGAUCCAUGUAGAUUUAAUAAUGCAUGAUACCUCAUCCUAUAUGAUUUAAAUUUGUUUUGCUGACUUUAGAAUUUCUAAUGACAUAGAAUGCAUGUUUAUAUGUUUAAAGGAAUACCUAUAAUGGAGGAUGAUUUGGCUUGAUACAGUUUUUGAAAUGAACCAGUUAAUUUUCAGUACCGUUUGCUUUUCUGUAUUGGGCAUUGUUGUUAAUAACGUCUGCAGUGUAUUUGACUAUAGUGAGUUGAUAUAUGGAAAUUGGUUUUUUGCAAAUGCCUUGAAAUGGCAUUGUGAUGUGAAUGAGAUCAGGAUGGGUAUUCUAGGGAGCUUGGUUAUCUGUUCUUCUUUUGGCUUGCAUGCAUUCCCUUACAUAUUACAAUCAUUAGAUCAAUCUUGACUUAGAAGAAAUUUUAUCCUGCAGAAAUAAGAUCCUUACUGAAAUCAUGAAAGAUUUGACCCAUUAUGCCGUCCUUGAAAAGGUCAUUGCUGCAUAAAUGUAGAUUUUGUGAUUUUUCUGAUAGCCUGGUGCUUUCUUGUAUUGACUUUUUGGUUAAUCUUGGCUGGUUUUGCUACCCAAACGGGAUGUGCAUAUGGUAAGAAGGUACAAUAGGGAACACUUGUUGGAUAAUUGGGACUUCAGGUUAAAUGCAUGCCUAAACACUAACUUCUUUUCUAUCAUCUUUUCAUUGGCAACCCCAUUGGGUUGGCCUAAUGGAGAAGAGUUGGGACUUGAUAGUGUGCUCUUGUCCAGGAUCCCAGGGGCUAUUAGACUUGGGCAAAACCCAUGAAUUAACCAUGGUGCACUCACAGGAAACUCCUUGCCGAGGGCAUGUGCAUCCUUGGGAUUAGUCGGGCCUUGGCCUGGAUACCUGGUGCUAAUAAAAUAAAAAAAUCUUU